GUGACCGCUAAAAAAUCAGUUUCAAUUCAAAAUGGCCAAACUACUGGUAGUACUCAUUGCUUUAGGCUGCAUUUUGUUGCCACAAAGCCAUUUAGUGGCUUCUCUUCAGUGCUAUUCUUGCUCAGGGGUGAUAAAUUCUAUUUCUGAAUGUACAAAUUUGCUUAAUGUUUAUCCCUCAAUUUGUGGAAGUGAUCAAGUUUGUGCCACCUUCGUUUUGCACAAAUCAACUGCAGACAUUUUGCACAGAAAAUGUGCUUCCAGUAAUAUAUGCAAUGAUUUGGAAAUA
Long non-coding RNA from Zophobas morio, 286 nucleotides. RefSeq lists it as uncharacterized. The record is from RefSeq and is a predicted model, not a curated record. NCBI's taxonomy places the organism in Eukaryota, Metazoa, Arthropoda, Insecta, Coleoptera, Tenebrionidae. The transcript has 3 exons.